GCCUUCAUGGUGCAACGGUAGCACAUCUGGCGCGUAUUCGAGAGGUCCAGGUUCGAGUCCUGGCGAGGACA
Molecule: transfer RNA, 71 nt
Filed under: Stegodyphus mimosarum
Lineage: Eukaryota; Metazoa; Arthropoda; Arachnida; Araneae; Eresidae
Rfam family: tRNA
About the family: Transfer RNA (tRNA) molecules are approximately 80 nucleotides in length. Their secondary structure includes four short double-helical elements and three loops (D, anti-codon, and T loops).
Source: Rfam by way of RNAcentral